RNAcentral lists this microRNA (22 nucleotides) under Pristionchus pacificus. RNAcentral's name for it is "ppc-miR-2238l-3p". The record is from miRBase by way of RNAcentral. Lineage: Eukaryota; Metazoa; Nematoda; Chromadorea; Rhabditida; Neodiplogasteridae.
AAUGGCGGAUUAGUGGAUGUGA